UACAGAGGUGGCAAGCGUUGUUCGGAAUUACUGGGCGUAAAGGGCGCGUAGGCGGUUUCGUAAGUCCUGUGUGAAAUCCCCCGGCUCAACUGGGGAACUGCACAGGAAACUGCGAGGCUUGAGUUCGGGAGAGGGAAGCGGAAUUCCGGGUGUAGCGGUGAAAUGCGCAGAUAUCAGGAGGAACACCGGUGGCGAAGGCGGGUCUCUGGGCCGAUACUGACGCUGAGGAGCGAAAGCGUGGGGAGCGAACAGG
This 253-nucleotide ribosomal RNA is filed under the name uncultured bacterium. RNAcentral's name for it is "partial 16S ribosomal RNA". It matches the Rfam family "Bacterial small subunit ribosomal RNA", at positions 524 to 776 of the family's 1533-position model. The record is from RNAcentral.